AAAGAAGAUAAAAUGUCUGCCCGGCACCUACUUUGAAAGUCUGAAAAGUAGGUCUUUCAAAGUAGGUGCUGGGAGGAAAGUCCGAACACCACAGGGCAGGAUACUUCCUAACGGGAAGUCUUGGUAACGAGGAGCCAGCUCCACAGAAACAAACCUCCAGCACCUACUUUGGGUGUCUGCAAAGCAGGUCUCUCAAAGUAGGUGCUGGGAAGGGUGAAAUGGUAGUGUAAGAGACUACCAGGUUUCGGUGUGAACCGGAAUGCUCGGAAAGCCUUAUCCGGUGCAAUGCCAAAUAGGAGAACAGGCCAGCCCGGCCACAUUGUUCUCGGGUGGGCAGCUGAAAUCGGUCAUUAUUAUGAACUCUGAAGAGUAUAGCAAUAUCCGGUUUAGAUAAAUAGACAUUAAAUUGCUUGUUAGGCGAUUUACAGAAUUCGGCUUAUUAUCUUCUUUGACA
This 454-nucleotide RNase P RNA is filed under the name Candidatus Cloacimonadota bacterium. RNAcentral's name for it is "RNase P RNA component class A". It matches the Rfam family "Bacterial RNase P class A". From Rfam's summary of the family: Ribonuclease P (RNase P) is a ubiquitous endoribonuclease, found in archaea, bacteria and eukarya as well as chloroplasts and mitochondria. Its best characterised activity is the generation of mature 5'-ends of tRNAs by cleaving the 5'-leader elements of precursor-tRNAs. Cellular RNase Ps are ribonucleoproteins. Lineage: Bacteria; Pseudomonadati; Candidatus Cloacimonadota. The record is from RNAcentral.